This 191-nucleotide ribosomal RNA is filed under the name Amanita rhacopus. Its description in RNAcentral is "partial 28S ribosomal RNA". It matches the Rfam family "Eukaryotic large subunit ribosomal RNA", at positions 1 to 176 of the family's 3401-position model. The record is from RNAcentral. Lineage: Eukaryota; Fungi; Basidiomycota; Agaricomycetes; Agaricales; Amanitaceae.
UUGACCUCAAAUCAGGUAGGACUACCCGCUGAACUUAAGCAUAUCAAUAAGCGGAGGAAAAGAAACUAACAAGGAUUCCCCUAGUAACUGCGAGUGAAGCGGGAUAAGCUCAAAUUUGAAAUCUGGCAGUCUUUUUUUUCUUCUUUGGCUGUCCGAGUUGUAAUCUAGAGAAGUGCUACCUGCACUGGACC